UUAAAUUGAAGAGUUUGAUCAUGGCUCAGAUUGAACGCUGGCGGCAGGCCUAACACAUGCAAGUCGAACGGUAACAUGAAGAAACUUGCUGCUUCGCCUACGGCUGCGCGCGGG
This 114-nucleotide ribosomal RNA is filed under the name Shigella sonnei. RNAcentral's name for it is "partial 16S ribosomal RNA". Lineage: Bacteria; Pseudomonadati; Pseudomonadota; Gammaproteobacteria; Enterobacterales; Enterobacteriaceae. The record is from RNAcentral.